UACAGAGGGUGCGAGCGUUAAUCGGAAUUACUGGGCGUAAAGCGCGCGUAGGCGGUUUUGUAAGUCGGGUGUGAAAUCCCCAAGCUUAACUUGGGAACUGCAUUCGAGACUGCAUAGCUAGAGUAUGGGAGAGGGAAGUGGAAUUUCAGGUGUAGCGGUGAAAUGCGUAGAUAUCUGGAGGAACACCGGUGGCGAAGGCAGCAUCCUGGACCAACACUGACACUGAGGAGCGAAAGCCAGGGGAGCAAACGGG
Molecule: ribosomal RNA, 253 nt
Filed under: uncultured bacterium
Lineage: Bacteria
Description: partial 16S ribosomal RNA
Rfam family: Bacterial small subunit ribosomal RNA
Source: RNAcentral